GGCAGACUGGAGAGUAACACGUGGGAACGUGCCCUUCAGUUCGGAACAACCCAGGAAACUUGGGCUAAUACCGGAGACGUCCGCAAGGAGAAAGAUUUAUCGCUGAAGGAUCGGCCCGCGUCUGAUUAGCUAGUUGGUGGGGUAAUGGCUCACCAAGGCGACGAUCAGUAGCUGGUCUGAGAGGAUGAUCAGCCUCACUGGGACUGAGACACGGCCCAGACUCCUACGGGAGGCAGCAGUGGGGAAUCUUGGACAAUGGGCGCAAGCCUGAUCCAGCCAUGCCGCGUGGGUGAUGAAGGCCCUAGGGUUGUAAAGCCCUUUCGGCGGGGAAGAUAAUGACAGUACCCGCAGAAGAAGCCCCGGCUAACUUCGUGCCAGCCGCCGGGG
Molecule: ribosomal RNA, 387 nt
Filed under: uncultured bacterium
Lineage: Bacteria
Description: bacterial SSU rRNA
Rfam family: Bacterial small subunit ribosomal RNA
Source: RNAcentral